This 254-nucleotide ribosomal RNA is filed under the name uncultured bacterium. RNAcentral describes it as "partial 16S ribosomal RNA". It matches the Rfam family "Bacterial small subunit ribosomal RNA", at positions 524 to 776 of the family's 1533-position model. The record is from RNAcentral.
UACAGAGGUCUCAAGCGUUGUUCGGAUUCAUUGGGCGUAAAGGGUGCGUAGGCGGCGCGGUAAGUCGGGUGUGAAAUCUCGGAGCUUAACUCCGAAACUGCAUUCGAUACUGCCGUGCUUGAGGACUGGAGAGGAGACUGGAAUUUACGGUGUAGCGGUGAAAUGCGCAGAUAUCAGGAAGAACACCAAUGGCGAAAGCAGCUCUCUGGGGACGGUACUGACGCUGAGACGCGAAAGCGUGGGGAGCGAACAGG